Molecule: long non-coding RNA, 1954 nt
Organism: Gadus macrocephalus (Pacific cod)
Lineage: Eukaryota; Metazoa; Chordata; Actinopteri; Gadiformes; Gadidae
Exons: 2
Source: RefSeq, a predicted model, not a curated record
UUCCAUACUGUAAUAAAGAAUCAGAAGACAAGAAAAUAAACAUUAGGACUGUCAAUUAAUGAACAUUUCUAGAACAUGUAGAACUCAAAGAUUAUUUUGUUUAUCAGUUAAAAAAGGAUGCUGGUCCUCUGGCCAUUGUGUUUGGUCAUAUUGAAAAGAGAAAAAGGCAUAGCCAUUAAUACAGUUAAUAGGACGGGAGGGGACAGGCUGUUGGCUCCGGUUAGCACUUUAGCAUCGAUCUAGCGGAGCUUCUGUCAUUCAAAUAACUCGGACAUGUUGUUUAAAACCUAUAACACCCAAUUUAUUAAAAUAUCCAGAUUUAAUCAGACUCUCUCCCAUAAGUACAGUUAAUAGGACGGGAAGAGACAGGCUCUGUUAGCCCCGGUUAGCGCGAUGCUAAAGAGCAGCUCUACCGGAGCAUGCCACCUCAACAGGUGCAAGUUAGCCUCCGGUUUGAUAUUCGCCGGAUAUUCAGUUUACCACCCAUUCGGAUUCAUCAACAUAAGUGCAAUACAUUACGGGCUUAGUAUGUUGAGGACGGUUUAGGACACCGUAUCGCGAAAAUCACAAACACAUGUUGGCGCCAUCGAUGUCUGUGCAACAACUAGUGUUGGCUCGUUCGUUCGCGAACCGGUUCGAAUGACCGAGUCUUUAGGACGAACGAACUGAACCGGUUCGUCUCUCUCGUUCGUUCGGUCGUCUCGUUCACCAUUCGAUUCAACGGAAACUCGACUGAACGAACGAACGAGUUUCCGGUAGCACUAACUCCACUGUGUCUGACUGACUCAGCUGAGAACCGUGCAAUGGCGUGCAUUCCAUGAUGCCAUUCACCGUUACCGGAAACAAGGCUGAAUCGCGAACGAUUCCUCCACGUUCAGUCGAGUGUCCGGUGAAUCGAUUCACCGGAAACUCGACUGAACUGGGAGGAGGCGUUCACGAAUCGUAUGUUCGUUCAGCCUGGUUUCCGGUAGCGGUAAAUCGCAUCAUGGAAUGGACCCCAUUGCACGGUUCUCAGCUGAGUCAGUCAGACUCAGUGGAGUUAGUGCUACCGGAAACUCGACUGAACGAACGAACGAUUCGCGAACGACACCUCGUGGCGAACUGAAUCACGCGAACUGGGUCACGGAAACUAAUCAUUGAAUCCACCAGUAGCAACAACGUCAUUUACGUUCUGGCUGCUACCUGUUUUAGGGACCGUCAACAAGUUACACUCACCGACUGGUGGCAGAGACGUUACCAUGGAAUUGUUUCUGGAAAUAAAUCAUAUAAAAUAACAUAAAAAUCACUAAAAAAUACAUUUUGUCACCUGAUUGUAGUAGUAGUUGCCAAUGGUGGGCUGCUACUUACUGCGGGUAACUUUGCUAAUAUAUUGCAUUAUUGUUAAACGGGAUGCAAUUAAUAAUUUCAAAUAUAGUUUAGUCGAUUUUUGUUGAAUAUUAAACUAUUAACUGCAUUAUGAUAUUGCAAUAUAUUUGUGUGAUUAAUUUCCUGAAACAAUUCCAUGGUAACGUCUCUGCCACCAGUCGGUGAGUGUAAUUUGCUGACGGUCCCUAAAACAGGUAGCAGCCAGAACGUAAAUGACGUUGUUGCACCGACAUCGAUGGCGCCAACAUGUGUUUGUGAUUUUUCGCGAUACGGUGUCCUAAACCGUCCUCAACAUACUAAGCCCUAUGGAAGGGGAGAUUUGGAGGUACCUGGUCAGGUCUUGGUCAGCCUUCAAAUCCCAGAUGUGGAGACUGCAGGGAUACCUCACAGAGAAGACACUAAAGAGCCAUCUCUCAUUCAUCAAGUGGACUCAUUGGUUUGCGAAUGACCACAAAGAUGCUCCCAUAGGCAGAUUGCUGCAUGACAUUCACCACUUAUUCAAAUUGUAGAGGUUGAAGCAGUCUUCCUUGUGGUCACUUGCCAUAACACUGUCAUUUGUUUUAUGAAAACACCAUCAGUAACAUUUAAA